Molecule: non-coding RNA, 93 nt
Filed under: Bombyx mori (domestic silkworm)
Lineage: Eukaryota; Metazoa; Arthropoda; Insecta; Lepidoptera; Bombycidae
Also listed under: 1 other name
Source: miRBase by way of RNAcentral
AGGGGCACGCGACUCCGCGCCGAAGUCAAUUGUGAUGCGGUCGGCUUUUUAGGGACCCCGUUCACGGCGACUUUUCGUAGCGAUGCUGCCGCG